CGCCCACUGCAUACCACACAUAGUUUUUUCUCCCUGCACGUCACUAGUGCGGGCUCCCACAUGAUGAGAGCAGGGCUUACCUGUCCCUCCCCUCUCCCCACUUGGAGGCAACGCCCCCUUUUCCACACUGACCCAUAGCAACGCAGGCUCCUUUACAGACCCCUCCCACCUUACUCCUCCCCCUCUCCUAUUUAAAAAGCCAAGCAGCCCCACAAUGUCAGACAUUGCUGGAUGGCUGCAGCAGCUGUACACACUCUACACUGCUUGUGUUUUCUUCCCAUCUUCCGAUCCCUCUACUGACCUCUCUGGCCACUUUUUGUCAUUACAGGUA
Long non-coding RNA from Rana temporaria (common frog), 331 nucleotides. RefSeq lists it as uncharacterized. The transcript has 2 exons. The record is from RefSeq and is a predicted model, not a curated record. Lineage: Eukaryota; Metazoa; Chordata; Amphibia; Anura; Ranidae.